RNAcentral lists this ribosomal RNA (304 nucleotides) under uncultured bacterium. RNAcentral's name for it is "partial 16S ribosomal RNA". It matches the Rfam family "Bacterial small subunit ribosomal RNA", at positions 506 to 807 of the family's 1533-position model. The record is from RNAcentral.
CAGCAGUAGCCGCGGGAAUACGGAGGGUGCAAGCGUUAAUCGGAAUUACUGGGCGUAAAGCGCACGCAGGCGGUUUGUUAAGUCAGAUGUGAAAUCCCCGAGCUUAACUUGGGAACUGCAUUUGAAACUGGCAAGCUAGAGUCUUGUAGAGGGGGGUAGAAUUCCAGGUGUAGCGGUGAAAUGCGUAGAGAUCUGGAGGAAUACCGGUGGCGAAGGCGGCCCCCUGGACAAAGACUGACGCUCAGGUGCGAAAGCGUGGGGAGCAAACAGGAUUAGAUACCCGUGUAGUCCCUGUCUCUUAUAC